RNAcentral lists this transfer RNA (115 nucleotides) under Agelastica alni. RNAcentral describes it as "partial tRNA-Leu". The record is from RNAcentral. Lineage: Eukaryota; Metazoa; Arthropoda; Insecta; Coleoptera; Chrysomelidae.
AUUUUAGUACGAAAGGACCAAAUUUAAGAAUUAUAUUUUUAAAUUAGAAUUAAAUUAUUAUUUUGGCAGAUUAGUGCAAUAGAUUUAGAAUCUUUAUAUGUAGUUUUACAAAUAA